RNAcentral lists this ribosomal RNA (483 nucleotides) under uncultured bacterium. RNAcentral describes it as "partial 16S ribosomal RNA". It matches the Rfam family "Bacterial small subunit ribosomal RNA", at positions 28 to 523 of the family's 1533-position model. The record is from RNAcentral.
GACGAACGCUGGCGGCGUGCUUAACACAUGCAAGUCGAACGAUGAAGCUGGAGCUUGCUCCAGUGGAUUAGUGGCGAACGGGUGAGUAACACGUGAGCAAUCUGCCCUUGACUCUGGGAUAACUGCGGGAAACUGUAGCUAAUACCGGAUACGACACCUUGGGGCAUCCCGGGGUGUGGAAAGAAUUUCGGUCAAGGAUGAGCUCGCGGCCUAUCAGCUUGUUGGUGAGGUAAAGGCUCACCAAGGCGACGACGGGUAGCCGGCCUGAGAGGGUGACCGGCCACACUGGAACUGAGACACGGUCCAGACUCCUACGGGAGGCAGCAGUGGGGAAUAUUGCACAAUGGGCGAAAGCCUGAUGCAGCAACGCCGCGUGAGGGAUGACGGCCUUCGGGUCGUAAACCUCUUUUAGCAGGGAAGAAGCGAAAGUGACGGUACCUGCAGAAAAAGCACCGGCUAACUACGUGCCAGCAGCCGCAGUAA